This 495-nucleotide ribosomal RNA is filed under the name uncultured bacterium. RNAcentral describes it as "partial 16S ribosomal RNA". It matches the Rfam family "Bacterial small subunit ribosomal RNA", at positions 28 to 507 of the family's 1533-position model. The record is from RNAcentral.
GAUGAACGCUGGCGGCGUGCCUAAUACAUGCAAGUAGAACGCUGAAGGAGGAGCUUGCUCUUCUGGAUGAGUUGCGAACGGGUGAGUAACGCGUAGGUAACCUGCCUGGUAGCGGGGGAUAACUAUUGGAAACGAUAGCUAAUACCGCAUGACAACAGUUAUUGCAUGAUAACUGUUUAAAAGGGGCAACUGCUCCACUACCAGAUGGACCUGCGUUGUAUUAGCUAGUUGGUGAGGUAACGGCUCACCAAGGCGACGAUACAUAGCCGACCUGAGAGGGUGAUCGGCCACACUGGGACUGAGACACGGCCCAGACUCCUACGGGAGGCAGCAGUAGGGAAUCUUCGGCAAUGGACGGAAGUCUGACCGAGCAACGCCGCGUGAGUGAAGAAGGUUUUCGGAUCGUAAAGAUCUGUUGUAAGAGAAGAACGAGUGUGAGAGUGGAAAGUUCACACUGUGACGGUAUCUUACCAGAAAGGGACGGCUAACUACGUG